This is a long non-coding RNA of Magnolia sinica, 2108 nucleotides long. RefSeq lists it as uncharacterized. The record is from RefSeq and is a predicted model, not a curated record. Lineage: Eukaryota; Viridiplantae; Streptophyta; Magnoliopsida; Magnoliales; Magnoliaceae. The transcript has 3 exons.
UCUUAAAGCAGUAACCCAUGACAAUUUCCAGAUUAGUACAACUCUUAGAGCAGUUACCCAUGACAAUUUCCAGAUUGGUAUUCUAAGUGUGAUUGUGUAUGCUUGCUUGCGAGGAAUUUCAAGUUUAAUUUGUAAUAAUUGUCUGCAUCUCAUUUUAUCAUUUACAAUCCUGUUCCAUUGAUUUGGUAUUGGAGCAGAUAGCAACAACCAUUUCAAUGGACAUGCAUCUAUUCCUCAGAAUUUUAGAACUCCACUAUUGUUACAAGUGGUUGCAUCCUAUUCCUCAGAAUUUUAGAAAGAAACAAAACAAUGUAUAGAAUUUGCAUCUCAUGUAUGGUUUAUGAACUUUCAACAUGCCUAAUUUCUUUUGAAGGUCAAGUGGUGGACAUGGGACUAACAACUACAUCCUUACUGAAUUCUGAGAAGUUUCCUGUCAUAGUCCCGAAUUCAUUAUUUUCCAGUCAGGUCACUCAUUCCUACCAACAUGCUGCAAAUGAGUAAUCCUCAUCUUGAAAAUCAGUCUGAUCCACUCAGUAGUGGACCACAACUGAUGCUUACACGAGAUGACUGUCGAAAGCUUUAUUCGAGUUUUGGUUCAUUGUAUCCAUUUGGUCAUGAGGAACUUGUUGUUUGUGAGGACAUUGAUCAGGUAAGUUUCUAUGGAAAUUGCAUGAAAACAUUGUGAGAAAGCACCAUUGAUUUUCUCAUGUGUGGUUUCAGGGCGCAGACAUAAACAGAGAACAAUGGAAUCACUCUACAUGGAACCUGCUUAUCUGGAUUCACCUCAUCUAAAUAAUUCAUAAAAUUGUACUUUGAAGGAUUUUGUUUCAUAUUUGUCAUUGAUGAUGCUUCUCUCUGUUUCUUUAAAGACAGCUGUUGAGGACAUUAGAGGUAAUUCAUUGCAAUUAUGCUACAAUAUUAGAUGGUUUUUUUUCCUGAUAACUGCUUCAGGCAUUUUCACAGUUUACACUACUUAAUGAAUGGUCAGAUCUUUGGCAUGUGUGCUAUCUGAUGGUGGGAAUCAUUUUUGCAUUUUUGCUAUCUAAUGAAUGGUCAAAUUAGAACACAAAUUGCAUUUUUGCAGGCAAUCGAGAUUGCUUUCAAAGUUGAAAUCAUGCAAUUUUUAGGUUUUUCAUAGUUUUUUAUUUUUAUUAUUUUUAUUAUAGUUCAGACAUGGUGAUUUUGGACUCCAGAUUUUGCCUUUCGUAGAAAUUGUGGGUUUGGAUGCAAAUUAGAGCACAGAUUGCAAUUUUACAGGUAAUUGGGAUUACUUUCAAAGUUGAAUGCAUGCCAUUUCAGGGUUUUUGCCUAAUUGCUAGACCAUAUUCUGCUUAUGAAGAUGGUGAUUUUGGAACUUAUUAGUUAUUAAGAUAGUGAUUCUGGAACAUCUUAGAAAUUACGGCUUGGGAAAUUAAUUAGAGCAGAAAAUUACGGUUUUUAGGUAGUUUAGACUUGUUCCAAGUUGAUGCAUGCGAUUACAGUAUUUUCAUGCGGUUUUUGAGUUUAGAAUGCUGCUUUAAUCUCCUAAUCUUUGGUUUCCAUAGAAAUUACAUUUAUCAAAUGCAAAUCGUAGCAGAAGAGUGCAUUUUUCAUGUAUUUGGGACUGUUUUUGAGGUUGAAUGCUUGUUAUUUUUGGUAUUUUCUCUAGUUCAAUAAUUUGUUCUAAGUCUGGGAGUUGUUCAAACUCCAAUUCAAUAAUCUAUUCCAGUAUUUGGUGAGUUCCAGCAUGAACCCUAUCUGAAUGAAAGAAUCUGUUUGGCUUUGCAGCAGCGAAAAAUAGAUGAAACUAGUCUGUUUAUGCUGGUUAUGAUUUUGGUUAUUUAUCAAUUUAUUUGUAUUGCAUCUCUAGUCCAAUUCUUUGUCAAAAGCCGAGUUAAUUGUUUGUAAUGAAUAGAGAACUUACCGUAUUGUGCACCGGGUUUGUACUUGUGGGGUCCAUGGUUUAUCCAAGCCAUUGAUUCGAUGUCCCUCAUCAUGGAUGGCCAUGCCCCCAUAUUUCUGAAAUUGGAAGAUCAGAGUGAUGAAAUCUUUCGCCUUCCUUCCAUUGAAAUGUGGCUUGUUGGUGCAUUACUUCUUAACCAUAUAUUUGCAUGCCACAGCGAUGGAAA